This 1454-nucleotide long non-coding RNA is filed under the name Mytilus galloprovincialis (Mediterranean mussel). The record is from RNAcentral. Lineage: Eukaryota; Metazoa; Mollusca; Bivalvia; Mytilida; Mytilidae.
GUUUUGAUCACUAUGAAUGAUUUUAUGCAAUAUUGGUUUCAGUCUUUGUGCAAGAGAGUAUGCUAUAAUUUUGGUAUCUACAUUUAGUAAGGUAAUUGGUCUAUAAUUAUCUAAAUUUAAUGGGUCGUUUUUCUUGUAUAUAAGGGUAAUCAAUCCAAGUUUCUGAGAAUUUGUUAAUUCUUUUUUUUCAUAGCAAUUAUUAAAAACAUCUACAGCAAAGUUUGUAAGUUUGACCAGAAAGCUCUAUAAAAUUCAAUUGAGAGACCAUCGAUACCUGGUGUUUUAUUAAGUUUCAUUUUAAAAACAGAUUGUGUACAUUCCUCUAUUGUCAGGUUGCCGUCAAUUUCAUUACCUUCUUUGUACUUAAUUUGUAAUUUAUUUUAGUUUUUUCAAUAUAAUUUUCAAUUUCUGUUAGAUCAGGGUUAGUUGACUUAUAUAAAUUGACAUAAUAAUUUCUCCCCGUUUCUAAUAUUUUGCCUUGAUCUUCUGUUAUUUCUCCUUUACUGUCCCUUAUAGCAGUAAUGUUUUUCCUUGUUUGUCUUGAUUUUUCUAAUCCCAAAAAAUAUUUUGUAUUUUUUUCGCCCUCUUCUAUCCAUUUAACUCGUGAUCUUAUUUGUGCCCCUUUUAUUUUAUCUGAAUAUAGAGUUUGUAGCGUUUCUUCUGUUUUAUUUAUUGAAUCUAUUAUAUUUGGCAAAUUAUUAUUUUUUUCAUCCAUGUUGUUAUCAUGAAUUUCAUUCAAAAGUUUAAGUUCUUGUUCUAGUUUUGUAAUUUCAUCUCUUUUAUGUUUAGCUUUUAAUUUACAAUGUUCUAUAGUUUUCUCUCUUACUUCUAUUUUAAAAAGAUCCCACACGAUUGCUAGACUUUUUUUAUUUCUUAAUUUUUCAUAUUUAUCUAUCAAAGUAUUUAUUUUUAUUUUGUAUGAUUCGUCGUUAAGAAUAUUGUUGUUUAAUUUGAAGUAUCCCUUUCCUUUGUUCCCUUGACAAUGAUUAAUUUUAAGUGAAAUCGCUAAGUGAUCUGUAUAUUGAAUUGUUGCAGGUCGUAUAUCAGUGCUGAGUACUCUUGGUCUCACAUCUUCACUUACUAGAAAAUAAUCAAUUCUACUAGCUACUUCAUUAUUUUUUCUUUUCCAGGUAUAUUGCGUUUUAUUUGGAUUUAUAGCUCUCCAUAUAUCUAUAACUUUUAGUUUUUUUAUCAGAGUUUUUAGCCCAUUUGUCUUAUUUUUUAUUUUUUGUUGAUCUUUUCUAUUACUUUUUCUAUCUUUUAUAUUAAGCGUUUCAUUCAUAUCACCGCCUAUGAUAAUUAUACCAAGACUAUAUUUUUCAAUGACACUUAAAGCUUUUUUAAAGAAUAUAUUUCUAUCUUUACAUGUGUUUGGGGCAUAAAGGUUUACAAAGGUAAAUAUAUUUUUAUCGAUUUCUAUGUUGAUUAAAACAAUUCUUCCGUCUUGAUCUACA